RNAcentral lists this ribosomal RNA (265 nucleotides) under uncultured archaeon. Its description in RNAcentral is "partial 16S ribosomal RNA". It matches the Rfam family "Archaeal small subunit ribosomal RNA", at positions 748 to 1009 of the family's 1478-position model. The record is from RNAcentral.
UAGCCGUAAACGAUACUCGCUAGGUGUCGGCCACGGUGCGACCGUUGUCGGUGCCGUAGGGAAGCCGUGAAGCGAGCCACCUGGGAAGUACGGCCGCAAAGGACUGAAACUUAAAGGGAAUUGGCGGGGGAGCACCACAACGGGUGGAGCUUUGCGGUUUAAUUGGAUUCAACGCCGGAAAUCUUACCGGGACCGACAGCAACAUGAAGGCCAGGCUGAAGACUUUGCCGGAUUAGCUGAGAGGAGGUGCAUGGCGUAGACGUCU